Molecule: ribosomal RNA, 431 nt
Filed under: uncultured Paracoccaceae bacterium
Lineage: Bacteria; Pseudomonadati; Pseudomonadota; Alphaproteobacteria; Rhodobacterales; Paracoccaceae
Description: bacterial SSU rRNA
Rfam family: Bacterial small subunit ribosomal RNA
Source: RNAcentral
AACGAACGCUGGCGGCAGGCCUAACACAUGCAAGUCGAGCGCCCCUUUCGGGGGGAGCGGCGGACGGGUUAGUAACGCGUGGGAAUAUACCCAGAUCUAAGGAAUAGCCUCGGGAAACUGAGAGUAAUACCUUAUACGCCCUUUUGGGGAAAGAUUUAUCGGAUUUGGAUUAGCCCGCGUUAGAUUAGUUAGUUGGUGGGGUAAUGGCCUACCAAGACGACGAUCUAUAGCUGGUUUGAGAGGAUGAUCAGCAACACUGGGACUGAGACACGGCCCAGACUCCUACGGGAGGCAGCAGUGGGGAAUCUUAGACAAUGGGCGCAAGCCUGAUCUAGCCAUGCCGCGUGAGUGAUGAAGGCCUUAGGGUCGUAAAGCUCUUUCGCCUGUGAUGAUAAUGACAGUAGCAGGUAAAGAAACCCCGGCUAACUCCG